UCCAGACUCCUACGGGAGGCAGCAGUGAGGAAUAUUGGUCAAUGGCCGAGAGGCUGAACCAGCCAAGUCGCGUGAGGGAAGAAUGUCCUAAGGAUUGUAAACCUCUUUUGUCGGGGAGCAAAAAGGCUCUGCGGAGUCGUAUUGAGAGUACCCGAAGAAAAAGCAUCGGCUAACUCCGUGCCAGCAGCCGCGGUAAUACGUAGGGAGCAAGCGUUAUCCGGAUUUAUUGGGUGUAAAGGGUGCGUAGACGGGAAUGCAAGUUGGUUGUGAAAUCCCUCGGCUUAACUGAGGAACUGCAACCAAAACUACAUUUCUUGAGUGCUGGAGAGGAAAGUGGAAUUCCUAGUGUAGCGGUGAAAUGCGUAGAUAUUAGGAGGAACACCAGUGGCGAGGGCGACCUUCUGGACAGUAACUGACGUUGAGGCACGAAAGUGUGGGGAGCAAACAGGAUUAGAUACCCUCGUA
RNAcentral lists this ribosomal RNA (465 nucleotides) under uncultured bacterium. Its description in RNAcentral is "bacterial SSU rRNA". It matches the Rfam family "Bacterial small subunit ribosomal RNA", at positions 330 to 792 of the family's 1533-position model. The record is from RNAcentral.